UGUCCAUGCCCUCCUUGGGGCGUUUCCUCCCUAGAUUUUCGACCGCCUCCGGGCGGUCUUUUUUUAUACCUUA
Molecule: small RNA, 73 nt
Filed under: Paramesorhizobium leguminum
Lineage: Bacteria; Pseudomonadati; Pseudomonadota; Alphaproteobacteria; Hyphomicrobiales; Phyllobacteriaceae
Description: Phyllobacterium leguminum Makes More Granules Regulator RNA (mmgR)
Rfam family: Makes More Granules Regulator RNA (mmgR)
About the family: SuhB later renamed mmgR (makes more granules regulator) was a putative non-coding RNA found multiple times in the Agrobacterium tumefaciens genome and related alpha-proteobacteria. Other non-coding RNAs uncovered in the same analysis include: speF, ybhL, metA, and serC.
Source: Rfam by way of RNAcentral